This 265-nucleotide ribosomal RNA is filed under the name uncultured Glomeromycotina. RNAcentral describes it as "partial 18S ribosomal RNA". It matches the Rfam family "Eukaryotic small subunit ribosomal RNA", at positions 619 to 888 of the family's 1831-position model. The record is from RNAcentral. Lineage: Eukaryota; Fungi; Glomeromycota.
UUAAAAAGCUCGUAGUUGAAUUUCGGGAUCAAUAUGUCGGUCGUGCCUUCGGUACGUACUGGCAUCAUUGGUUUCUCCCUUCUGACAAACCAUGAUGUCAUUAAUUUGGUGUUAUGGGGAGUUAGGACUGUUACUUUGAAAAAAUUAGAGUGUUUAAAGCAGGCAUUAGCUUGAAUACAUUAGCAUGGAAUAAUGAAAUAGGACGUUUGACCCUAUUUUGUUGGUUUCUAGGAUCGACGUAAUGAUUAAUAGGGAUAGUUGGGGG